AUUCGAGCCUCUUCAAAAACUGGAUUGGCGUUAUUUGAGAUCAAUACAUUGUUUUGUAGAUUACAAAUAAUGCAAGCAUAUAUCAUAUUACAUAUCACUACAGAGUUUGUUCUCGUGAACCCUCAGCGGUCAAAACUGACAAGUCUUACAUAACAUUUGGUAACACCAGUGAAAAGAGAGCGCAAGUAAACGGCAAAAAUUAUUUUCUAACAUUUAGCAUUUUCUUUUCAUGGACAAAUUAAACUUCUCAGGAUGGUAAAUAUAGAAGCAUCCACUCGCAGGCGGAUAAAGAAUCAAUAUCCACAUAAGAGGAAAUAAAACGCUUAGAACCAGCUUGGCAGUCUUUGUUCCUACCAAAGCUUAAGCAGUUGCAGCCAUUGGAACUGAUUUUGCUGCUCUGUAACAUGCCCUCUUUGCUCCACGAACAAUAUCUUCAAUCUGUGGAACAGCCAUUCUUUCUAGAUUUGCUGCAUAUGGCAUCGGAACGUCAGCCCCAGAUAUCCUCUCAACUGGUGCAUCAAGAUAUUCAAAACUUUCCUCAACCACAGAAGCACAGAUCUCAGCUCCAACGCCGUGUUGUGGGAACCCUUCUUCAACAGUUAAAAGCCUGUUGGUUUUCCUCACAGAAGCAUUAAUGGUGGAUCUAUCAAGCGGUCGGAUAGAGCGCAAAUUUAUGACCUCAGCACUAAUUCCCUCUUUUGCAAGAAUUUCAGCAGCCUUAAGAGCAGAACCAACCAUCUUUGAGAAAGCAGUAAUUGUGAUAUCCUUUCCUUCACGUUCAAUCUUAGCUUUUCCAAUGGGAAGAGCGAAACUAGAAUCAAGAACUUCAGCAGAAACAGGGAAAGACUCACCAUAUAGCAAUUCAUUUUCCAGAAAAACAACAGGAUCUGGGUCCCUGAUAGCAGCUUUUAGCAGACCGCGAGCAUCCUCAGACGAGUAUGGAGCUAGCACCUUCAAUCCAGGACAUGCACCAAACCACGCCGCAUAGCACUGAGAGUGUUGAGCACCUACUCCAGCUGCAGCACCAUUAGGACCCCUGAAGACGAUGGGGACUGCGAUCUGACCGGCAGACAUAUAAUUUGAUUUUGCAGCAGAAUUGAUAAUAUGGUCAAUAGCCUGCAUUGAAAAGUUGAAAGUCAUGAAUUCUAUAACAGGCUUCAAACCAUGGUAAGCAGCACCAACUCCCAUUCCAGUAAAUCCAGCCUCAGUAAUGGGUGUAUCAAGAACUCUUUGUGGACCAUAUUUAUUCAACAGCCCUUUGGUAAUCUUAUAGGCUCCUUGGUAUUCACCAACCUCCUCUCCCAUUAUAAAGACCUUUGGAUCCGCAGACAUUUCUUCAUCCAGAGCAGAAUUCAAAGCAUCACGGACAGUCAUCUCUUUAGUUGCUGAAGAAAAAUUUCUAGAUGCAAAUACCCUGCUUCCCAACAGGAACUGAUUCAUAUUCAAAGCAGAAAUGCCUCUGGUAGCCAUUUUUCGAUUUAUAAUCCCAGACAUAUCCGCUUCCUUGUAGCUAUCAAAUUCCCUGUAGAUUAGGUGUUUGGUGGUGGCGGGCGCGAACAAUUAGUCGAGAGUGACAAAAUUGGAAAUGUGAGAGAGGCACGCUAACUGCGG
This 1611-nucleotide unclassified non-coding RNA is filed under the name Hevea brasiliensis (rubber tree). Lineage: Eukaryota; Viridiplantae; Streptophyta; Magnoliopsida; Malpighiales; Euphorbiaceae. The record is from RNAcentral.